Molecule: non-coding RNA, 525 nt
Organism: Nelumbo nucifera (sacred lotus)
Lineage: Eukaryota; Viridiplantae; Streptophyta; Magnoliopsida; Proteales; Nelumbonaceae
Source: RefSeq, a predicted model, not a curated record
GAAGGGCAUUGCUGGGUUGAGGGGGACAAUUCAGCUUCCAGCUUGGAUUCAAGAUCUUUUGGCCCAGUUCCUCUGGGCCUGGUUCAAGGGAGGGUUACCCAUAUAGUCUGGCCUCCGCAGAGAGUGGGUCAAGUGAGGAGAAGCAUUCCAGAAGGAAGAUUUUCUCUGUGAUACUUAUAUGCAUCAAUGCAUGUGAAAGCGUGGGAUGACAAGUUCAUUUUUCUCAUGGCCCUUCAUGAACUAAUAAUCCUUCAAUUGGAUGGAUGAGUUUGCCGUGCAAUUUGGUGUUAACAAUGUGUGCUCCAUGUUUUCACAACACCUGAACACCACCUUACAUGCUUUAGCAGGCCAAUUCUGUAACUUUGCUUUGACAAUUCUUUCUGAUAAUUUUUAGCACAUUCCUUGGAUAUUUGGUAUUGAUUUCUUAUCCUCUCAUGGUGGCUAAGAAUAUACUGAUAAAGGAGCUCAACAAAGUUUUGUCUUGGGAAUCUUUUUGGCCCCUGCAGGAUCAUGAACAUGCAGCCA